CCUACGGGAGGCCGCAGUAGGGAAUCUUUCACAAUGGGCGAAAGCCUGAUGGAGCAACGCCGCGUGCAGGAUGAAGGCCUUCGGGUUGUAAACUGCUUUUAUAAGCGAGAAAUAUGAUGGUAACUUAUGAAUAAGGAUCGGCUAACUACGUGCCAGCAGCCGCGGUCAUACGUAGGAUCCGAGCAUUAUCCGGAGUGACUGGGUGUAAAGAGUUGCGUAUGUGGCAGAAUAAGUAGCUAGUUAAAUCUGGUGGCGAAACCAUUCAGACUAUUCGCUAAACUGUUACGCUCGAGACCGUUAGGGGUAACUGGAAUUGCUAGUGUAGGAGUGAAAGCCGUAGAUAUUAGAAGGAACACCAAUAGCGUAGGCAGGUUACGGGGACGGUUCUGACACUAAGGCACGAAAGCGUAGGGAGCAAACGGGAUUAGAUACCCGUGUAGUC
Molecule: ribosomal RNA, 442 nt
Filed under: uncultured bacterium
Lineage: Bacteria
Description: partial 16S ribosomal RNA
Rfam family: Bacterial small subunit ribosomal RNA
Source: RNAcentral